UACGAAGGGGGCUAGCGUUGUUCGGAAUUACUGGGCGUAAAGCGCACGUAGGCGGAUUUGUUAGUCAGGGGUGAAAUCCCGGGGCUCAACCUCGGAACUGCCUUUGAUACUGCAAGUCUCGAGUCCGGAAGCGGUGGGUGGAAUUCCUAGUGUAGAGGUGAGAUUCGUAGAUAUUAGGAAGAACACCAGUGGCGAAGGCGGCCCACUGGUCCGGUAUUGACGCUGAGGCGCGAAAGCUAGGGUAGCAAACGGG
RNAcentral lists this ribosomal RNA (253 nucleotides) under uncultured bacterium. Its description in RNAcentral is "partial 16S ribosomal RNA". It matches the Rfam family "Bacterial small subunit ribosomal RNA", at positions 524 to 776 of the family's 1533-position model. The record is from RNAcentral.